GAAUAAGGAUCGGCUAACUUCGUGCCAGCAGCCGCGGUAAGACGAAGGAUCCGAGUGUUAUCCGGNAAUUACUGGGCGUAAAGGGCGUCUAGGCGGCCAGGUAAGUCACCCGUGAAAGUCCGCGGCUCAACCGCGGAAUGCCGGGUGAAACUGCUUGACUUGGGUAUAGGAGAAGAGGGUGGAACUCACAGAGUAGCGGUGGAAUGCGUAGAUAUUGUGAGGUACCCCGAUGGCGAAGGCAACCCUCUGGCCUGCUACCGACGCUGAAGCGCGAAAGCGUGGGGAGCAAAGGGGAUUAGAUACCCCCGUAGUCCACGCCGCAAACGAUGUUCACUUGGUGUCGGUCGCUGAUACAGAUCGGUGCCGGAGCUAACGUGUUAAGUGAACCGCCUGGGGAGUACGGCCGCAAGGCUAAAACUCAAGAGAAUUGACGGGGGCCCGCACAAGCGGUGGAGCACGUGGUUCAAUUCGAUGAUAAACGAAUAACCUCACCUGGGUUUGACAUGCUAGUGGUAGGAACCAGAAACGGGGACGACUUUCCCUUUCGAGGGAAGGAGCUAGCACAGGUGAUGCAUGGCUGUCGUCAGCUCGUGUCGUGGGACGUAGGGUUAAGUCCCGAAACGAGCGCAACCCCUGUCGUCAGUUGCCAGCGGGUAAUGCCGGGGACUCUGACGAGACUGCUGGUGAAUAGCCGGAGGAAGGAGGGGACGACGUCAAGUCAUCAUGUCCCUUAUGCCCAGGGCUACACACAUGCUACAAUGGGAGGUACAAUGGGUUGCGAAACCGUAAGGUGAAGCCAAUCUCAAAAAGCCUUCCUCAGUUCGGAUUGAGGUCUGUAACUCGACCUCAUGAAGCUGGAAUCGCUAGUAAUCGCAGGUCAGCUAUACUGCGGUGGAUAUGUACUCGGGCCUUGUACUCACCGCCCGU
This 927-nucleotide ribosomal RNA is filed under the name uncultured bacterium. Its description in RNAcentral is "bacterial SSU rRNA". It matches the Rfam family "Bacterial small subunit ribosomal RNA", at positions 484 to 1397 of the family's 1533-position model. The record is from RNAcentral.